This 1372-nucleotide ribosomal RNA is filed under the name uncultured bacterium. RNAcentral's name for it is "bacterial SSU rRNA". It matches the Rfam family "Bacterial small subunit ribosomal RNA", at positions 28 to 1381 of the family's 1533-position model. The record is from RNAcentral.
GAUGAACGCUGGCGGCGUGCCUAAUACAUGCAAGUCGAGCGAACGGACGAGAAGCUUGCUUCUCUGAUGUUAGCGGCGGACGGGUGAGUAACACGUGGAUAACCUACCUAUAAGACUGGGAUAACUUCGGGAAACCGGAGCUAAUACCGGAUAAUAUUUUGAACCGCAUGGUUCAAAAGUGAAAGACGGUCUUGCUGUCACUUAUAGAUGGAUCCGCGCUGCAUUAGCUAGUUGGUAAGGUAACGGCUUACCAAGGCAACGAUGCAUAGCCGACCUGAGAGGGUGAUCGGCCACACUGGAACUGAGACACGGUCCAGACUCCUACGGGAGGCAGCAGUAGGGAAUCUUCCGCAAUGGGCGAAAGCCUGACGGAGCAACGCCGCGUGAGUGAUGAAGGUCUUCGGAUCGUAAAACUCUGUUAUUAGGGAAGAACAUAUGUGUAAGUAACUGUGCACAUCUUGACGGUACCUAAUCAGAAAGCCACGGCUAACUACGUGCCAGCAGCCGCGGUAAUACGUAGGUGGCAAGCGUUAUCCGGAAUUAUUGGGCGUAAAGCGCGCGUAGGCGGUUUUUUAAGUCUGAUGUGAAAGCCCACGGCUCAACCGUGGAGGGUCAUUGGAAACUGGAAAACUUGAGUGCAGAAGAGGAAAGUGGAAUUCCAUGUGUAGCGGUGAAAUGCGCAGAGAUAUGGAGGAACACCAGUGGCGAAGGCGACUUUCUGGUCUGUAACUGACGCUGAUGUGCGAAAGCGUGGGGAUCAAACAGGAUUAGAUACCCUGGUAGUCCACGCCGUAAACGAUGAGUGCUAAGUGUUAGGGGGUUUCCGCCCCUUAGUGCUGCAGCUAACGCAUUAAGCACUCCGCCUGGGGAGUACGACCGCAAGGUUGAAACUCAAAGGAAUUGACGGGGACCCGCACAAGCGGUGGAGCAUGUGGUUUAAUUCGAAGCAACGCGAAGAACCUUACCAAAUCUUGACAUCCUUUGACAACUCUAGAGAUAGAGCCUUCCCCUUCGGGGGGCAAAGUGACAGGUGGUGCAUGGUUGUCGUCAGCUCGUGUCGUGAGAUGUUGGGUUAAGUCCCGCAACGAGCGCAACCCUUAAGCUUAGUUGCCAUCAUUAAGUUGGGCACUCUAAGUUGACUGCCGGUGACAAACCGGAGGGAGGUGGGGAUGACGUCAAAUCAUCAUGCCCCUUAUGAUUUGGGCUACACACGUGCUACAAUGGACAAUACAAAGGGCAGCGAAACCGCGAGGUCAAGCAAAUCCCAUAAAGUUGUUCUCAGUUCGGAUUGUAGUCUGCAACUCGACUACAUGAAGCUGGAAUCGCUAGUAAUCGUAGAUCAGCAUGCUACGGUGAAUACGUUCCCGGGUCU